This 111-nucleotide ribosomal RNA is filed under the name Pantoea ananatis. The record is from RNAcentral. Lineage: Bacteria; Pseudomonadati; Pseudomonadota; Gammaproteobacteria; Enterobacterales; Erwiniaceae. RNAcentral also lists the same sequence under 22 other names.
UGGCGGCCUUAGCGCGGUGGUCCCACCUGACCCCAUGCCGAACUCAGAAGUGAAACGCCGUAGCGCCGAUGGUAGUGUGGGGUCUCCCCAUGCGAGAGUAGGGAACUGCCA